UGAGGAAUAUUGGUCAAUGGGCGAGAGCCUGAACCAGCCAAGUAGCGUGCGGGAUGAAGGCCCUUGUGGUCGUAAACCGCUUUUAUCAGUGAAUAAAGUGCACCACGUGUGGUGUCAUUGCAGGUAGCUGAAGAAAAAGGACCGGCUAAUUCCGUGCCAGCAGCCGCGGUAAGACGGAAGGUCCGGGCGUUAUCCGGAAUUAUUGGGUUUAAAGGGAGCGCAGGCGGGAGUAUAAGUCAGCUGUUAAAUAUCAGAGCCCAACUCUGUUAUGCAGUUGAAACUAUAUUUCUUGAGUACGCACAGGGAUGGCGGAAUUCAGGGUGUAGCGGUGAAAUGCUUAGAUAUCCUGAAGAACUCCGAUCGCGAAGGCAGCCAUCCGGAGCGUAACUGACGCUGAGGCUCGAAGGUGCGGGUAUCGAACAGGAUUAGAUACCCUGGUAGUCCGCACGGUAAACGAUGAAUACUCGCAGUUCGGUCUUUAUGAUCGAGUUGUCCAGCGAAAGCGUUAAGUAUUCCACCUGGGGAGUACGCCGGCAACGGUG
This 542-nucleotide ribosomal RNA is filed under the name uncultured bacterium. Its description in RNAcentral is "bacterial SSU rRNA". It matches the Rfam family "Bacterial small subunit ribosomal RNA", at positions 355 to 896 of the family's 1533-position model. The record is from RNAcentral.